AUUGAACGCUGGCGGCAGGCUUAACACAUGCAAGUCGAGCGGAGAUGAGGUGCUUGCACCUUAUCUAGCGGCGGACGGGUGAGUAAUGCUUAGGAAUCUGCCUAUUAGUGGGGGACAACAUUCCGAAAGGAAUGCUAAUACCGCAUACGUCCUACGGGAGAAAGCAGGGGAUCUUCGGACCUUGCGCUAAUAGAUGAGCCUAAGUCGGAUUAGUUAGUUGGUGGGGUAAAGGCCUACCAAGGCGACGAUCUGUAGCGGGUCUGAGAGGAUGAUCCGCCACACUGGGACUGAGACACGGCCCAGACUCCUACGGGAGGCAGCAGUGGGGAAUAUUGGACAAUGGGGGGAACCCUGAUCCAGCCAUGCCGCGUGUGUGAAGAAGGCCUUAUGGUUGUAAAGCACUUUGAGCGAGGAGGAGGCUACUGAGACUAAUACUCUUGGAUAGUGGACGUUACUCGCAGAAUAAGCACCGGCUAACUCUGUGCCAGCCGCCGCGGUAA
Molecule: ribosomal RNA, 500 nt
Filed under: uncultured bacterium
Lineage: Bacteria
Description: partial 16S ribosomal RNA
Rfam family: Bacterial small subunit ribosomal RNA
Source: RNAcentral